Molecule: long non-coding RNA, 674 nt
Organism: Oryzias latipes (Japanese medaka)
Lineage: Eukaryota; Metazoa; Chordata; Actinopteri; Beloniformes; Adrianichthyidae
Source: RefSeq, a predicted model, not a curated record
CGCUCCUUCGCAGAGGAAUGCUGAAGCCAGGAGGCAGUAAUGCCGCCUCCGAGAAGAAAACAGACAAGCAGGUCGAGCUGAAGAGGCGAAGAAGAAGACUUUGAAUUGGUGGCAGCGCUGCUAGCAACACAACUCAACGAGCAAGACAGAUGCAGCCAUGUGGACAUCACUAACAUCUGGGCUUUCACUCAUCCAACCUGGCAACCCCUCGCUUUAUGGUUGAGGAUCAUGGACUCUUUAGUCCAGAUGAAAACAAAAGAACUGGGCUUUACCACCGAGGUCAGACACCUGAGAUCCAAUAAAUCAAAAAAGAAGACACUUUAAUAAAGAAUCAGUAUAAGUUUCAGUCCUGGAGGUUAAAAGGAUGAAACUACUUCAAACGCUUGCGUCCUUCCCUUCAAGGCAUGCUAGAAAAAGAGCUCAGCAGUAGGUGAAGAAUGGAUAAAGAGUAAAUCCUGUGGAGAAAAGGUAGGAAGCGUCCUGGAAGAAAGACAGUUCCCGUGCCUUUAGAAAUCCCACCUGAGCUGUUAAAACAUCCCAAGGAGAAGAUUGAGUACCACUGUUCAGUUUGUGGAAAAGAAUUCCCUCAUGCUUAUAAACUAGAGCGGCACCAGCUGAUCCAUACAGGAGAAAAACCAUACUGCUGCUGCAUCUGUGGUCGGGGUUUUAACCAG